Molecule: long non-coding RNA, 3673 nt
Filed under: Zea mays
Lineage: Eukaryota; Viridiplantae; Streptophyta; Magnoliopsida; Poales; Poaceae
Description: long non-coding RNA (ZMAY_LNC005136)
Source: RNAcentral
GCCCCAAAACCCUAGUCCUCAGAGGCCCCCAUCGCCUAGGCGUCGGAGUGUUUGGAAACGCAACAACCUACGGCGGCACGGAUCCCGAUGCCUGCUGCUUCUCUGCAGGGCGACGGUAUGAAGAUAGCAACAACAAAGGUGUGUAUUCCUCUAUUCCUCUUAGUAGAUCAGAACUACUCGUCAUCAAGAUUAUACUUCCAGUUCCAGUUACGGAUUGGUUUUAUAGGGACUUAGGAAUCGAUCCUAGGCAGUAUAGAUUCUAACACAGAGCACGACCAGGUGGUAGGCGCCGGCGGCGAGUCACAGUGAAAUGUCGCAGCAGCCAGCCGCGGCGGCGGCAUGGAGGCGGUGGAGCCGUCGUCGCACGAGUCCGCGGUCAGCAGCAGCAGGUGCGUCUGCGUUGACGCGGCGUCACCCGCGUGUCCGGCGGUCUGAGGCCCCGGCACCGUUUCGCUUUCGCCCGCAGCAGCAGCAGCCGUGGGCUCUCGCGCCUGGACGUUGCUUGUGACUAAUUGCUGCGAGCUCGAUGGCCAGCCGCCGCCCGCGUCGUCGCUCGCAAGCGCGGCUGGGGACAGGGAGGAGGCACUGCAGGCCUGCUGCUGCUGUUGCUUCGUCGUCGUCGCCCCCAUGCCGACCGGCAGCCACUGCCGCCGGCGCGGGAAGAGCGGCUGCGGGCCGUGCAGGUGUGCACCCUCGUACGUGACCGACAGCAUCUCUGGGUCGUCCGGCGAUUUCUCCACAUGCUUCUUCGCGCCGCACCGGGAACUCGUGCACUUGUAGUAGCUCCUGCGUGAUAUAUAGAAAAGACACAUGUGCGCCCACGCGUAGAGAAUUGUGAUAAUGCCACCAUGCAUGCAUGCAUACUAAGGGGGUGUUUGGUUUGUAGGGACUAAUGUUUAGUCCCAUUAUUUUAUUCCAUUUUAGACUAUAAAUUGCCAAAUUUAGAAAUUAGAAUAGAGUUUUAGUUUCUAUAUUUAGUAAUUUUACAACUAAAAUGGAAUAAAAUGUAGGGACUAAAAAUUAGUCCCUAGAAACCAAACACCCCUAAGAUUUCUAAGCUUUUAGUUUCACCAAUCUGUAGGGAACUGACGAUGAAUGGUAUACGUUUCAAUAUUUGACUUAAUUAGGAUAAAAACUAGAAUAAUGCAUGCAUGACAGUUUUGUAGCUGCGCGCGCGUGUGCAACUGUGUUCUGUGUUGCCAGUUAAUUAAUGAGAGACGUGUGUACAGAUGGUUGUUAGUGGUUGCCGUGCCGUGCACAUCUUUAUUUAUUGUUGGAUGAAAUAUGUAUAUAUCCUGGGAUCGUCGACCCAAUGCAACGGGUUGAAUGAUCAAGUGACAAGGAGGGGCUAUAUAUAAUUGCUGGAAAUAUUGUCUCUGAUUCUAGGCGGUACACGUCGCUAUCAGCAGGCCUGUCGUUUCUCUGAACAAUUUAAUAAACAUGUGACAAGCAAGCAGGUCUUGGCAGGCCCCACCUUUCUUUUAAUUAGCUCUACUGUAUUACGUAAGUUUGCACUUUCUUUACACAGUGGCGCCACAGAAUGACAGAAUGGCGAGAUGAUUAUAUAUAACUCCGUACUCUCACAUCUUUUUUUAUAAAAAAAAAAUCCCUACUUAGAUCUUUGCUGCUAGCAAAGGCAUAUUGGUACAACUAAUAAUCCACGAGAUUGUUGCUCUGAAUUAAUAAGGACUCCUUUGAACUACAUGAAUUAAAAGAAUAUAGAAAUAAGAAAAACGUAGGAAUAAUAUAGUUACUAGCAUCAACACUUAACCUCUCGUACUUCGUGCAUAGGAAUUUUUCAAGAGUUAUAGGUGGAUGUUAGAAGUUAUAUGGAAUCAACACACAAAAGAAUGAAAUAAUCCCAUGGAAUAUAUAUAGUAGUGAUGCUUCAUGAAAACCAAUUAAGCUAAAAGGAUAGGAAACCCUCCUGUAAUCAAAGGAGCACUUUCAGCCGGCAGCACAAAGUACACUCCAUCAGCGAGAAAAAGUCAGGCUCUAUAUAUAGGGUUAUUAAUUAUAUGCUGCCGUGGUUGUCUAGCCACCCAAAUAAAGCCCUUUUUUCCUUUUUUACAAAUUUUGUUUAGGUGCACCAAAUAUAGGUGGAGUAAGACAGCUUAUACUACAAACAUAAAAAAUUACUAGAAGCCAACUCUUAUAAAACCAUGGUUAUUUCUUCGUGUCCACCGAGAAAAAUGGCAUUUUGGAAUGACACAUGGUGCCAUUGGCCUUUUAGCUUAAACCGGCUCGGCCUAGGGUUUGUGGGCACUGCAUGAACCCUAGCUUAGUUAGACUCCUUAGGGUGCCACUAGUGCAUUUUUGUCGAGGAAAGGGUGAAUAUGAUGUCACUAAUUGAAAGAAAGUGUCUACAAGCAUCAAAGUUUAUUAGACUAGCAUAUGCCUUUGAAAGGUAUUUUUCGUAUCUAUUAUAUGUAUGAUUUAGUUGAUGUUGUCAAAACCAUAAAUUUGUUUGCCUUGAUGUCAUCAUGGAUUUGCUGUUGUGCAUGGAUUUCCUAUUUUUCUUAACCUAAUUUUAGGAUGGUUUAUAACUCUAUUUGCAAAAUUGUUCUACAUGUUCCAAUUUAUUAUGAGAUUUGCUAUGAUGAUAGGUAUGUGUACUACAAAACCAUAUGUUUCCAACUAGUUUUAUAUACAGCUAAUCUCAACUAUCUCUUAGUUUGAUACAAAAGAGGUGACAAAGUAUGAGAACCGUCAUGGCUUGUCCUUAACAUUUUAGAACAAGAACAUGUCUACUUAUUCCAAUCCAACUUCUUACUUACAAUAGAGGAAUGCAAUUGACAUGCACUGCUAUUUGGCAUUAGAAGGACAUAUAUAUGACAUGGCAGUAACUUAGCCAACAAUAGACUUGCCAAUCUACUAAGUCAAUAUAGUAUUCAUAUACCAGUGUUGAUAAGAAUGCAUCUGCUGAUCUUGGAGUUGGCCAUUCUAUGCGCCUGAGAUAUCUUCUAGUACAAGUGAAUAAGUUGGGAUAAAGGAGUAAAGGAAUGCAAAGAGCCAAAGACAUUCAAAGAAGGAAAAUCUUUUAGUGAUAAUGAAGAGACAUGGGUUCAAGGGUAGAUGGCUUGGGAGGGAAAGGUAUAUAUAUGGUGCGUGCCAUACCUUGAUUUAGGGGUUCAAGGGUGGAGUGCUCGAUAGGGCAAGUAUGGUACAUGCCACAUCUCGAUUUGGCCAUGCAUACUUCUUUAUUACUUGAGUUUAACAUGUGUUAUCUAUACAUAUGGUCUAUGUUAACCAAUUUAUAGCAAGUUACAUUAUGUUUGUGAAUCCUUUUAUUUUGCAUCAUACUUGUGAUCUUAUGACUUCGUCAUACCUAAAUUUUUACUAUGUCUACCCACCACUACCAAGACUGUUGAUGAUGAGGCAUACACCUCAUCAAAGUAUGAGCCUUCUGGUUACGAUUCUAACUCCAAUGUGCAAGAUGAACUGCUUGUUAUUGCUAAAGUUGGUAGUGAAUUGUUGUGAAUGUUAAUAACUCUGAUAACCCUAUACCAUUGCUAUUGGUUACACUUGACGAUGGUGAUACAUUUUAAGAGGACAAUAUGGCAAUACAUAAUCCUAAAUGAGUUUGAAAUUGCAGCUCUUUACAAUGAAUCUAGGUAGAGAGGGUAUUGCAAGGGACCAAGGGUAGUGACAAUAAGCUAAGGAGUGCAGAUGG